This 411-nucleotide ribosomal RNA is filed under the name uncultured bacterium. RNAcentral describes it as "bacterial SSU rRNA". It matches the Rfam family "Bacterial small subunit ribosomal RNA", at positions 64 to 507 of the family's 1533-position model. The record is from RNAcentral.
GAACGAGAAAGUGGAGCAAUCCAUGAGUACAGUGGCGACCGGGUGAGUAACACGUGACUAACCUACCCUCGAGUGGGGAAUAACUCCGGGAAACCGGAGCUAAUACCGCAUAACAUCGCAAGAUCAAAGCAGCAAUGCGCUUGAGGAGGGGGUCGCGGCUGAUUAGCUAGUUGGUAGGGUAACGGCCUACCAAGGCUGAGAUCGGUAUCCGGCCUGAGAGGGCGCACGGACACACUGGAACUGAAACACGGUCCAGACUCCUACGGGAGGCAGCAGUGGGGAAUUUUGCGCAAUGGGGGAAACCCUGACGCAGCAACGCCGCGUGGAGGAUGAAGUCCCUUGGGAUGUAAACUCCUUUCGACCGGGAAGAUACUGACGGUACCGGAAGAAGAAGCACCGGCUAACUCUGUG